RNAcentral lists this ribosomal RNA (395 nucleotides) under uncultured bacterium. RNAcentral's name for it is "bacterial SSU rRNA". It matches the Rfam family "Bacterial small subunit ribosomal RNA", at positions 28 to 420 of the family's 1533-position model. The record is from RNAcentral.
GAUGAACGCUAGCGGCAGGCUUAAUACAUGCAAGUCGAGGGGCAGCAUAAGUAGCAAUACUUGAUGGCGACCGGCAAACGGGUGCGGAACACGUACGCAACCUUCCUUUAAGUGGGGAAUAGCCCGGGGAAACCCGGAUUAAUACCCCGUAAUAUUAUGAUGUGGCAUCACUUUAUAAUUAUAGAUUUAUCGCUUAAAGAUGGGCGUGCGCCUGAUUAGGUAGUUGGCGGGGUAACGGCCCACCAAGCCUGCGAUCAGUAACUGGUGUGAGAGCACGACCAGUCACACGGGCACUGAGACAUGGGCCCGACUCCUACGGGAGGCAGCAGUAAGGAAUAUUGGUCAAUGGACGCAAGUCUGAACCAGCCAUGCCGCGUGGAGGAUGAAGGUCCUCU